GUCCCUCUCAGUUGGGUCAUGUGCACGCUUGGAUCGGAUUUGUUCAUUCCUUUUCAUAUACACCUGUGCACGAUCCUGUAGCUUGGGGAUGAUCAUGGAGUCACUGACUGUGGUGUAGUGGCCAUACAUCGCAUGUCUGGCUUUUAAUGCCCUCGCUAUGAAUGUUUUUUCUUCUUCAAUACACUUCUUGGUUUAAAGUCCUUAUAGAAUGUUUGCUCAGCGUUUAACAGCGCGAAUGAAAUACAACUUUCAGCAACGGAUCUCUUGGCUCUCGCAUCGAUGAAGAACGCAGCGAAAUGCGAUAAGUAAUGUGAAUUGCAGAAUUCAGUGAAUCAUCGAAUCUUUGAACGCACCUUGCGCUCCUUGGUAUUCCGAGGAGCAUGCCUGUUUGAGUGUCAUGAAAUUCUCAACUGCUUCAACUCUGUUCGAAGUGAAGUUGGACUUUGGAGGGAUCGGUUUGCCGGCAUUUGUUCGGCUCCUCUUGAAAGCAAUAAAGCCUUUUCGUUGUAGAUCUUGGCAUUAAAAGUAUCUUUGACGUGAUAAACUAUCUACGUCGCAGAGAAAAAGCCUUGAGCAAGAAACCCUUAGUAGGGGGUUUCCUACAUGAAUGGCUUCAUGCCCUCGGGUGUGGACCACAUUUGACCAAUUCGACCUCAAAUCAGGCAGGACUACCCGCUGAACUUAAGCAUAUCAAUAAGCGGA
RNAcentral lists this ribosomal RNA (702 nucleotides) under Hydnellum scleropodium. RNAcentral's name for it is "eukaryotic LSU rRNA". The stretch from base 245 to 398 matches the Rfam family "5.8S ribosomal RNA". Lineage: Eukaryota; Fungi; Basidiomycota; Agaricomycetes; Thelephorales; Thelephoraceae. The record is from RNAcentral.